GAAAUUUGCAUAGAUAUAUCCGCUCGCCAAAUUUUGUUUUUGUUUUCAUUUAUUAAGGUGGAAACAAAAGAAAAAUAUCGAAGGCAUUUUAAAAGUAUACAAGAUUUUACUGUUGUAACUGAAUAUAUAAGGACGUAGUCUGUCACCCUUUGUAUAAAGUUGGUGGGACAUACUCGGGACUUCUUCUUAAGCAAAAAACGGCGAUCCUUUUGUAGUUCAUAAGUGUGAUGAUUGGGUGUUCACGCUGUUGUGUGACAUGUGCCUCCCUCAAACCUUGUUACGACCUGGGCACAUUACCCGUCUGACGUGAACUUAGAGGAUCCUUUUUAUCUUUCAACUCUCCUGAAAAAAGGAGCCCGGGGAAGCGGACUGCAUUGCUGCCAAGGCGUGAGCGGGAGCGCGGAGAAAUGGGCGGCGCACACCUGGAGGGGUGAUAAGAAUGUUCUGGAGUUAGCUAGUGGUGCCAGUUGCCCAACCUUAUAAAAAUACUAAAACCUGCUGAAUUAUAUACUUUAAAAAGGCGCCUGGCUGGCUCAGCCCGUUAAGCAUCUGCCUUCGGCUCGGUUAUGAUCCCAGGGUCCUGGGAUGAAGUUGCCCACAUCAAGCCCUCAACAGGCUCCGCACUCAGUGGGAAGUCGUCCUCUCCCUGUCCCUCUGCCCCUCCCCUCUGCUCGGGCUCUCUUUCUCUCACGUGCUCUCUCU
Ailuropoda melanoleuca (giant panda) is the source of this 702-nucleotide long non-coding RNA. RefSeq lists it as uncharacterized. The record is from RefSeq and is a predicted model, not a curated record. Lineage: Eukaryota; Metazoa; Chordata; Mammalia; Carnivora; Ursidae. The transcript has 4 exons.